Molecule: ribosomal RNA, 253 nt
Filed under: uncultured bacterium
Lineage: Bacteria
Description: partial 16S ribosomal RNA
Rfam family: Bacterial small subunit ribosomal RNA
Source: RNAcentral
UACGUAGGGGGCAAGCGUUGUCCGGAUUUAUUGGGCGUAAAGAGCGUGUAGGCGGCCUUACAGGUCAGCUGUGAAAACUCGAGGCUCAACCUCGAGACGUCGGUUGAAACCGUAUGGCUAGAGUCCGGAAGAGGAGAGUGGAAUUCCUGGUGUAGCGGUGAAAUGCGCAGAUAUCAGGAAGAACACCCGUGGCGAAGGCGGCUCUCUGGUACGUGACUGACGCUGAGGUGCGAAAGCGUGGGGAGCAAACAGG